UCAAUAUGUAUCCUUGUUCCUGCCUUUAUUUUCUCUCCUCCCUGACAUGAUGUCAACUCCCUAAGUUUGAAUACCUUAAGAAACACUUGGAUGAACUGACUUCAAAAAAUAGACACUUGGAAUAUAUGAAUACAAAACUUAAAGAAGAAAUUAUGGAAUGUGACGAGCUGGAUCUAGAAGAUAAUUUAGAAAGAUUGAAAUUAAAAUACAAUUGGGUGGAACCAUAUACACCAAAGAUUAAAAUACAAGUGAAGCAGGAAACUGAAGAACUAAAUGAUCUAUUCUUACAGAUUCAAGACCUGGAAGCUGAAGUCUUAAAAAUGAAAAUCUCACAUCAAGAGACUAAAGCAAAACUAGAGAGAUGCAAAAAGGAUUAUUCUCAAGAAUAUAGAUUUACUACAAGUCCCUUUGUGGCGCCACUUCAUGACUAUGACUAUGAUAAUUAUUUGGGCCUUUCAGAAGGAAAUUCAAAAUAUUUUAUUGGAGAAAGAGACUUCAAUAAACGGCAGAGAAGUCUGCUUUGCAAAGGUAGUCAUUUAGA
RNAcentral lists this long non-coding RNA (541 nucleotides) under Sarcophilus harrisii (Tasmanian devil). RNAcentral's name for it is "lncRNA (ENSSHAG00000023035.1)". The record is from RNAcentral. Lineage: Eukaryota; Metazoa; Chordata; Mammalia; Dasyuromorphia; Dasyuridae.